RNAcentral lists this ribosomal RNA (488 nucleotides) under uncultured bacterium. RNAcentral describes it as "bacterial SSU rRNA". It matches the Rfam family "Bacterial small subunit ribosomal RNA", at positions 29 to 509 of the family's 1533-position model. The record is from RNAcentral.
AUUGAACGCUGGCGGCGUGCCUAACACAUGCAAGUCGAGCGGUAACAGGUGUAGCAAUACAUGCUGACGAGCGGCGGACGGGUGAGUAACGCUUGGGAAUCUGCCUAUUAGUGGGGGACAACCCGGGGAAACUCGGGCUAAUACCGCAUACGCUCUACGGAGGAAAGCCGGGGACCGCAAGGCCUGGCGCUAAUAGAUGAGCCCAAGUCGGAUUAGCUAGUUGGUAGGGUAAUGGCCUACCAAGGCGACGAUCCGUAACUGGUCUGAGAGGACGACCAGUCGCACCGGAACUGAGACACGGUCCGGACUCCUACGGGAGGCAGCAGUGGGGAAUAUUGGACAAUGGGCGAAAGCCUGAUCCAGCGACGCCGCGUGGGUGAAGAAGGCCUGCGGGUUGUAAAGCCCUUUCAGUGGGGAAGAAAAGCCUCGACCUAACACGUCGGGGUCUUGACGUAACCCAUAGAAGAAGCACCGGCUAACUCUGUGCC